Molecule: ribosomal RNA, 606 nt
Filed under: uncultured Clostridia bacterium
Lineage: Bacteria; Bacillati; Bacillota; Clostridia
Description: bacterial SSU rRNA
Rfam family: Bacterial small subunit ribosomal RNA
Source: RNAcentral
AUGCAAGCUCGAACGGAACCUAGUAUGUUAGACUGUAGAUGUUAGAGUAUUAGAGUGAAACGCAGAGUUUACGGAAGGGGUACACUCCCUCUGCGGAAAAGGAAUCUAACACUCUAAUGUCUAGAGCUCUAACGUCUAGGUUUAGUGGCGGACGGGUGAGUAACGCGUGAGCAACCUGCCUUUUAGAGGGGGAUAACGUUUGGAAACGAACGCUAAUACCGCAUAACAUACAGAAGUCACCUGGCUUUUGUAUCAAAGGAGCAAUCCGCUGAAAGAUGGGCUCGCGUCCGAUUAGCUAGAUGGCGGGGUAAUGGCCCACCAUGGCGACGAUCGGUAGCCGGACUGAGAGGUUGAUCGGCCACAUUGGGACUGAGACACGGCCCAGACUCCUACGGGAGGCAGCAGUGGGGGAUAUUGCACAAUGGGGGAAACCCUGAUGCAGCAACGCCGCGUGAGGGAAGACGGUUUUCGGAUUGUAAACCUCUGUCUUUGGUGACGAUAAUGACGGUAGCCAAGGAGGAAGCCACGGCUAACUACGUGCCAGCGGCCGCGGUAAUACGUAGGUGGCAAGCGUUGCCCGGAUUUACUGGGUGUAAAGGGUGCGUA